Molecule: small nuclear RNA, 151 nt
Filed under: Suricata suricatta (meerkat)
Lineage: Eukaryota; Metazoa; Chordata; Mammalia; Carnivora; Herpestidae
Description: U2 spliceosomal RNA (ENSSSUG00005007241.1)
Rfam family: U2 spliceosomal RNA
About the family: U2 is a small nuclear RNA (snRNA) component of the spliceosome (involved in pre-mRNA splicing). Complementary binding between U2 snRNA (in an area lying towards the 5' end but 3' to hairpin I) and the branchpoint sequence (BPS) of the intron results the bulging out of an unpaired adenosine, on the BPS, which initiates a nucleophilic attack at the intronic 5' splice site, thus starting the first of two transesterification reactions that mediate splicing.
Source: RNAcentral
AUCGCUUCUCAGCCUUUUGGCUAAGAUCAAGUGUAGUAUCUGUUCUUAUCAGUUUAAUUUUUAUGUGGGGAUGUAAAGUCUGUGUCUAGGUUUAAUUUUUGCAUGUGGUUGCCCGGUUGUUUCAGCAUCAUUUGUUGGAAACAGUACCUUU